GUUUGAUCCUGGCUCAAGACGAACGCUGGCGGCGUGCUUCACACAUGCAAGUCGAACGGUUCUAGAGGUUAGAGAUUAGAGGUUAGAAGUUGGAAUCUGUAAUCGAAAUUCACAGUGAAUUUCCUUCGAGUCUAACAUCUAAUUUCCAAUCUCUAACUUCUAGGAUAGUGGCGGACGGGUGAGUAACACGUGAGCAACCUGCCCGACAACCCGGGAUAACAGCGGGAAACCGUUGCUAAUACCGGAUACACCAGCAUUAACGCAUGUUAUAACUGGGAAAGGGUUUACCGAUGUCGGAUGGGCUCGCGACCCAUUAGCUUGUUGGUGGGGUAAUGGCCUACCAAGGCUGCGAUGGGUAGCUGGUCUGAGAGGACGAUCAGCCACACUGGAACUGAGACACGGUCCAGACUCCUACGGGAGGCAGCAGUGGGGAAUAUUGCACAAUGGGCGAAAGCCUGAUGCAGCGACGCCGCGUGGAGGAUGAAGGCCUUCGGGUCGUAAACUCCUGUCUGGGGGGAUGAAUUUUUGACAGUACCCCCGGAGGAAGCCCCGGCUAACUACGUGCCAGCAGCCGCGGUAAUACGUAGGGGGCAAGCGUUGUCCGGAAUUACUGGGCGUAAAGCGCGCGUAGGUGGCUUGUUAAGUCAGGUGUCAAAAUGCGGAGCUCAACUCCGCAGCGCACUUGAAACUGGCAGGCUUGAGUGCAGGAGAGGAAAGUGGAAUUCCUAGUGUAGCGGUGAAAUGCGUAGAUAUUAGGAGGAACACCAGUGGCGAAGGCGACUUUCUGGACUGCAACUGACACUGAGGCGCGAAAGCUAGGGGAGCAAACAGGAUUAGAUACCCUGGUAGUCC
This 852-nucleotide ribosomal RNA is filed under the name uncultured bacterium. RNAcentral's name for it is "bacterial SSU rRNA". It matches the Rfam family "Bacterial small subunit ribosomal RNA", at positions 11 to 796 of the family's 1533-position model. The record is from RNAcentral.